RNAcentral lists this ribosomal RNA (468 nucleotides) under uncultured bacterium. Its description in RNAcentral is "partial 16S ribosomal RNA". It matches the Rfam family "Bacterial small subunit ribosomal RNA", at positions 28 to 507 of the family's 1533-position model. The record is from RNAcentral.
GACGAACGCUGGCGGCGUGCUUAACACAUGCAAGUCGAACGGAAAGGCCCUGCUUUUGUGGGGUGCUCGAGUGGCGAACGGGUGAGUAACACGUGAGUAACCUGCCCUUGACUUUGGUAUAACUUCAGGAAACUGGGGCUAAUACAGGAUAGGAGCUCCUGCUGCAUGGUGGGGGUUGGUAAGUUUCGGCGGUUGGGGAUGGACGCGCGGCUUGUCAGCUUGUUGGUGGGGUAGUGGCUUACGAAGGCUUUGACGGGUAGCCGGCCUGAGAGGGUGACCGGCAACAUUGGGACUGCGAUGCGGCCCAGACUCCGACGGGAGGGAGCAGUGGGGGAUAUUGCACAAUGGGCGGAAGCCGGAUGCAGCAACGCCGCUUGCGGGAUGACGGCCUUCGGGUUGUAAACCGCGUUCGCCUGUGACGAAGCGUGAGUGACGGUAAUGGGUAAAGAAGCACCGGCUAACUACGUG